AUUUAUAAAUUAAAUAGUUGGUAAUGCAAUAUAAUUGUUUAUAAAUUACUAUUCGGUAAUUCUCAAACAUUUUUACGGAAAUAUAAUUUACUGGCACAAUAAUCAAGCCGAGAUAUUUUUUUGUGGACGGAAUAUAAUGUUAAUGUUGACCCAAUUAUAAAGCUUCCUUCACCCAUUUAAUAUUUUCGUUUAAAUAAAUUGAUAUUUAGUAUAUUAAUGAAUUUUAAUUUAUUUAUUUGGACAGAUUUAUUUUUUAUUUUAGAACAAUCGUUAUUGUCCUUGUUGCUUCUUAAUGCCUAACACGUGUCUGAGUGAAGAUAUCUCUUCUUCUUCCUUAACGUAUCAUCGACUGGACUUUUAAUGGGCCGCUUAAUUUUGUAAGAUAUCUUUAUGUACUCUUGUUGAUGUAUGUUGUCUUAUAUCAAUAAAAUUCAGAGAAAAAAAAAUGUCGAAAAGAAUAAUCGUUGUCUCAUCUUAAAAAACAAAAAAAAAAAAAACCCACCGAACAAAAGUAAGAACAUGGCUCGAUCGAAGAAUCAAUUGCGACAGCUAUUUCGUCUCCGUUUAUACAGUGUUGCAAAUCGUGAAUUCUUUAAAGAGGUCAAGUAUAAAUUGCGAGUAACCUAAAAAUGUGGAGGAGGCUAUCACGUUUUGUCAUUGGAGCUAUUCAAAAAUCUAUUGGUUGAAGAUUGCCAAAAUCUCAACCGGCCGGAUCAAGCAAAGGAUCGAGCCCAUGAUCCGCGUGUCGACCCGCCAAAGAACCCCAGGAUCUGCGUGUUUAUUCGGUCCAGUAGCCCAAGAUCUGCGGGUUACUUCCUUUCAAAUUAUUGUUUUACCCUUCUACGUGUUUCUUUUUUUACUCUUUGAAUGCAAAAUUCCUAAUGGCAUUCUUUGUAAUUCUUUACCCUUUAUAA
Arabidopsis lyrata subsp. lyrata is the source of this 914-nucleotide long non-coding RNA. RefSeq lists it as uncharacterized. NCBI's taxonomy places the organism in Eukaryota, Viridiplantae, Streptophyta, Magnoliopsida, Brassicales, Brassicaceae. The record is from RefSeq and is a predicted model, not a curated record. The transcript is spliced from 3 exons.